GCUUCCUGUGUAGCGGAAUGAAUCAAGAGGAUCGAUCUGAGGAGCUUAAGUAGUGAAAAUUCACGUGGAGCUAACGCAAUACCUAUAUGAAAUUUGUCAACGUGAUUGAAAAACGCAACUCAGCACUUAGUCGGUGGAAACAAUCAUCGAUUGCAAAUCCCACAACGCAGCAAAAUCAGAUCACCGUGUAUAAUAUAAAACAAAUACGUGAAGAUAUAAACCCCCGAAAAUAAGUGAAAAUAUUAUUUACUCUUAUAUAUUCAACGCGAUUAGUUCUACGGAAAAUAUGUCGGAUACAUCAGAACACCUAUUCAACUUCGUUCCUUUGGCAUCAUCCCAAACUCAAAGUCAGAGUGAACGGGAGUCAGGGGUGAGACGUCUGUCCUUGGGGGUCAAGAGGAAGGCAACACCCGUUUACUCGUUUAUCAAAAAACCACAUCGGAAUGGAGGUACAAAAGUCAUCAAAAUAGAAAUUUACGACAGUAACAAAUUGAAUGAGAACUUUGAACAUAUAUGUAAAUGUAAUGCCGAGCUGUGUGCCCAAUAUGUAGUGAAAAAUACGUUAUUAGACCAAGUUUACGAAUUAACGCGUAGAGUAAUUGACAAGAUAGACGAAGGUUUGUCCUCAGAUACGCCACAUGGGUACACCAUCGAAUAAGGGUACAAUUUAAUGUGAUUGUGUAAUAUGAACAUAGUUCUUAAGUUAAUAAACAUUAUAAAAGUA
RNA transcript from Leguminivora glycinivorella, 724 nucleotides. RefSeq lists it as uncharacterized. The transcript has 3 exons. NCBI's taxonomy places the organism in Eukaryota, Metazoa, Arthropoda, Insecta, Lepidoptera, Tortricidae. The record is from RefSeq and is a predicted model, not a curated record.